Molecule: long non-coding RNA, 304 nt
Filed under: Gallus gallus (chicken)
Lineage: Eukaryota; Metazoa; Chordata; Aves; Galliformes; Phasianidae
Source: RNAcentral
UGCUCCCACAGCUGAUUCAGUCCUUGCCUCAGGUGAUCAAUUGGUGGUUCAGGCUGUGAUUCAACAGUUCCCAUGCAGUACUUUAUCCAAACACUGAACAACCGUGCUGUACCUUCGUAGCAACGUGAGGAGUUCUACACGUUGAGAGAUGACUGCCUCAACUUUCAGCUUUCAGCCCUGACUCUUCUUAAAGUGUACAGUAACAUCUUAAAAAAAAAAGGAAGAAGCAGCAGCAAAGUGGGUGUAUUCAUGUCUGGAAAAACAGAGCUGACAAGUUAAAGACUAUCUGAAUGUCUUAAGGUGA